Molecule: long non-coding RNA, 2825 nt
Filed under: Malus domestica (apple)
Lineage: Eukaryota; Viridiplantae; Streptophyta; Magnoliopsida; Rosales; Rosaceae
Description: long non-coding RNA (MDOM_LNC016680)
Source: RNAcentral
CAGCCCUCGGUUGGAGAUGGCCUUACGAAUCACUCAAUAGAUUUGUUCAUUGGCCCUAAACUUUUAGUAAACAAAUUAGGCAACUCUAAUUAACAAUUGCUAAUCAAACUGCAAAAACAACAUAUUGAGCUUCAACUGUGUUCAAACAUUUGAAUCAACAUAUUUAAAGGUCUAGAUAUGCAUUAUUAACCAAAGGCAUCCAUUACAUUUUAGUAAAAAUUUCCCUAAUGGACUGCAAUUCAGAUACAAUUUGAAAGAUCAAAUUCAAACAUUGAAGCAUUCAAGCACUCAAGCACUUAAGCAAUUUAGAUUAUGCUUGAAAGAUGAAAUUCACACACUAAAACCACUCUACAACAUAUUCACACGAGUUACAGUAGGAACUUACGAAUCAAAACUUUACCGCAGCCAAACGCUAGGCCCUUUCCAUUAGUUAAGUAGAUUUUACGUAGCUGCAUUAACAUUGAAAUAAGGGAAAUAAAUCAGUAAUCUUAAUUUUUUUUAAGGAACUCAAAAAUAUUUCCCAACUUGCUUGUUUUCCUUGCAUUAAAAAUUAUAAGCACAUAGGACAAUGGAUAUUUCCCAACAAAUAAUGCAAAAAACCAAUAAUAAAGAUUUUUAAAUCAAUUUUGUGGUUAUUGUGUAUAGCAAUUGCAUUAGAAAACCAAACCUUGAAUAUCAUAUAGUGAACAUGGCUCUGCGAGUAGCCCACUGUAAGCACGAUGGAACUCUGAUGUGACUGUCCCAUCAUGCCACCUAUAGAAAAUACCAAUUGAUAAAGAGUCAAUAUUCGAUAAGUUUAUCUCACAAUUAUGUGAUUUAAAUUGAUUCUUUUCAUAUGGUUCAUCACAUAAGGGGUUAUUGAGAAAUCCAAGCAACUAAGCUAUUGGUAGGAUUCAGAGAUAAAUCUCGAAACAGUAUGCGAUUCAAUGACAACUGAAAGGGCUGAAAGGGAAGUAGAGGUACUGGUGAUAUUAGGAUACAAUAAGAAUAGCAUUGAAAUGCUUAGCUUUAGUCUUAACACAUUUUUCUUCUUUAGAGAAAAGAGGCAGGGGAAAGCAAUAGGAACAGUCUGACAGGAUUUUCUAUAAACAAGAUUUGUGAAUGAAUGUUUGGUUGGGCCACUUCACAACAGUUGUUCACUAUCACUCUAGGUUCUAAAAGUUCUAUACAUACAUACACACACACACACACACACACACACACACACACACACACACACAUACCAAUAUUAUUGCUUUAAAUAACUAUUAAUUAAGAAGAUACGAAUAUUAGUAAUGUUGGAGAUCAAACUCCCAACAACUCAAAUAGGUGAAAGAAAGAGGAAGCAAUAUGGGUCAUACAUGAAUAUGUACAGUUUUCCUUCUUCAACUAAAGCAUUUAAAUUCCUCUAAUCUUCACCCUUUAUAACCAUAAAAACAACAAUUCCAGAUUUUGUGUCACGCUUCGAUUCCAACAUACGUCCAAGAUCGACACGCGCCGGAAGACUGUAGGGGGAUGCCAGGAAAUACAAACUGAAAAUAACAAUAAUCACAUAUGUUUAAGGAAAAGUAUAAGGGUAACCUAACACUCCAAGCUCUCAGAACUCUGUCUGCUACCCCAAAGCUUCUCGUAUCUAAUAAUACCUGCACAAUCACCCCAACACCAUCGGAAUGGUGCACCGGGCAAACAACAAUCUGGAUAAGCCGCAAAACUCAUGUGAGUGACAAUAAUUCUACGUAUGUGAUAAUAUUAAAAAUCAACCAUCGAUUCGGUUUAUAAACGUCAAAUAUAAAUUAUAUUUUAUAAAAUUAUAAUCACGUCACUGAAAAUCCCGAAGGAGUCACCCAGACAUCCAACUACUCGUCUGAAACAAAUCACAAAGGCUCACAACCAAAAACUCAUACAACAUAAUGAAAAGAAGGGCUAGAGCGACACAGUUCAGCCGAAACCUACAUCUCUGAAGUUAUUUCAAUCAAACUCAAUCCAAAGAAUCAACAAAGCAAUUAAUCGGGUUCCAGACCUCUCAACGGAACCAUAACAUCAAUCGGGAUUCCGGACCACUUAACGAAAUCCAACCAAGAUACGAUUCUGAACCACUCAACAGAAUCGCGGAGUAGAAGGGAUUCCUGGCCUCUUAACGGAAUCCGAGUGGAUAUGAUUCCGGAUCUCUCAACGGAAUUGUGGAGUACAAUGGAUAUCAGACCACUCAAUGAAAUCCAAGCUGGAUACGAUUCCGGACCACUCAACGGAGUCGUAGAGUACUGAUGCGAGAAUUACUUGACACACAAAUUAAACCCUCUUUUUGACAAUUGUAGUAUAGAUGUAAGUAGGGUAUCGUUCUAGGCCGGGGAUUAGGAGGGCUUGCUAAUAACCUCUCACUUGACUAAAAAAUAUAAGAAGAAACUUAAAAACACAAAAGUAGGCUUUAAAACACUAAACUAGACUCAAAGAGUUCAAAACAAACUUAAGCACACUUUGAUACAAGAAAAUAAAUGGGGGGUAUUGGUUUUGGUUGUGAUUGAGAUAAAAAGUAAAACUAAAUAUAUGGUUGAUGGAUUAGCUAGAGAUCCAUUCUUCACACAUGACACACUUGAACAUGAAUUGAUUUUCAGUUGCUUUUCGAUAAGCUAUUAAUACUCAAUGCCCCAAAUUAACCGUGAAUUGCACUAAUUAACCCUCAGUUUUUCCACAAGUUAUUGCGUUGGAUGAUUGCAUACGACAACCCAAAACAUUCCCUACAAGUUCCCUACAUGAGUUGCAUAAUAGAGAUACAAACAAGAAUCAUUAAGUUCUAUGAAAAACAUAAGCAUUGACGAGACACUCGUUACUAUGAUUUGCAUGAAACU